GCGCGAAAACUUUACAAUGCUGGCAACAGCGAUCAGGGAACCUCGAGUGCCAGGUUACACAUCUGGCUGUCGAGAUGCCUAAAAAGCAUUUCAUAGCAAGGGCCGGGCAAGACCGGUGCCAGCCGCCGCGGUAACACCGGCGGCUCGAGUGGUAACCGUUAUUAUUGGGUCUAAAGGGUCUGUAGUCGGCCGGAUAAGUCUCUUGAGAAAUCUGGCAGCUUAACUGUCAGGCUUUCAGGAGAGACUGUCUGGCUCGAGGCCGGGAGAGGUGAGAGGUACUUCAGGGGUAGGGGUGAAAUCUUGUAAUCCUUGAAGGACCACCAGUGGCGAAGGCGUCUCACCAGAACGGACCUGACGGCAAGGGACGAAAGCUAGGGGCACGAACC
This 386-nucleotide ribosomal RNA is filed under the name uncultured prokaryote. Its description in RNAcentral is "bacterial SSU rRNA". It matches the Rfam family "Archaeal small subunit ribosomal RNA", at positions 339 to 725 of the family's 1478-position model. The record is from RNAcentral.